This 459-nucleotide ribosomal RNA is filed under the name uncultured bacterium. RNAcentral describes it as "partial 16S ribosomal RNA". It matches the Rfam family "Bacterial small subunit ribosomal RNA", at positions 338 to 795 of the family's 1533-position model. The record is from RNAcentral.
CCUACGGGUGGCAGCAGUGAGGAAUAUUGGUCAAUGGGCGAGAGCCUGAACCAGCCAAGUCGCGUGAGGGAAGACGGUCCUAUGGAUUGUAAACCUCUUUUGUCGGGGAGCAAAAAGCGGUACGUGUACCGCAUCGAGAGUACCCGGAGAAAAAGCAUCGGCUAACUCCGUGCCAGCAGCCGCGGUAAUACGGAGGAUGCGAGCGUUAUCCGGAUUUAUUGGGUUUCAAGGGUGCGAGGGGGGCGAGUUAAGUCAGGGGUAAAAUUUCGGGGCUCAACCCCGACAUGGCGUUGAAACUGGUUGGCUAGAGUGGGGGAGAAGUAUGCGGAAUGCGUGGUGUAGCGGUGAAAUGCAUAGAUAUCACGCAGAACUCCGAUUGCGAAGGCAGCAUACCGGCGCCCAACUGACGCUGAGGCACGAAAGCGUGGGUAUCGAACAGGAUUAGAUACCCGAGUAGUC